GCCGGGGUAGCUCAGCCUGGUUGGAGCGCCCGUCCGGGUCCUGGGGCGAGACUCAUAAUCGGGAGGUCGCGGGUUCAAAUCCCGCCCCCGGCA
RNAcentral lists this transfer RNA (93 nucleotides) under marine sediment metagenome. It matches the Rfam family "tRNA". Rfam says of the family: Transfer RNA (tRNA) molecules are approximately 80 nucleotides in length. Their secondary structure includes four short double-helical elements and three loops (D, anti-codon, and T loops). The record is from RNAcentral.